CCUACGGGAGGCAGCAGUGAGGGAUAUUGGUCAAUGGACGAGAGUCUGAACCAGCCAAGUAGCGUGAAGGAUGACUGCCCUAUGGGUUGUAAACUUCUUUUAUAAAGGAAUAAAACGAGGCACGUGUGCCUUUUUGCAUGUACUUUAUGAAUAAGGAUCGGCUAACUCCGUGCCAGCAGCCGCGGUAAUACGGAGGAUCCGAGCGUUAUCCGGAUUUCUUGGGUUUAAAGGGAGCGUAGAUGGGUUGUUAAGUCAGUUGUGAAAGUUUGCGGCUCAACCGUAAAAUUGCAAUGGAUACUGGCAGUCUUGAGUACAGUUGAGGUAAGCGGAAUUCGUGGUGUAGCGGUGAAAUGCUUAGAUAUCACGAAGAACCCCGAUUGCGAAGGCAGCUUACUAAACUGUGACUGACAUUGAUGCUCGAAAGUGUGGGUAUCAAACAGGAUUAGAUACCCCUGUAGUC
RNAcentral lists this ribosomal RNA (460 nucleotides) under uncultured bacterium. RNAcentral describes it as "partial 16S ribosomal RNA". It matches the Rfam family "Bacterial small subunit ribosomal RNA", at positions 338 to 795 of the family's 1533-position model. The record is from RNAcentral.